GGGUGCGACCAUACCAGCACUUAAGCACCGCAGUUAAGCGUGGUUGGGAGUGAGUAGUACUAAGAUGGGUGACCCCUUAGGAAGUCCUCAUGUUGCACCUC
Molecule: non-coding RNA, 101 nt
Organism: Gossypium raimondii (Peruvian cotton)
Lineage: Eukaryota; Viridiplantae; Streptophyta; Magnoliopsida; Malvales; Malvaceae
Source: Rfam